CAGUCGCCACGGGAAUACGUAGGUGGCAAGCGUUGUCCGGAAUUAUUGGGCGUAAAGGGCUCGCAGGCGGUUUCUUAAGUCUGAUGUGAAAGCCCCCGGCUCAACCGGGGAGGGUCAUUGGAAACUGGGAAGCUUGAGUGCAGAAGAGGAGAGUGGAAUUCCACGUGUAGCGGCGGAAUGCGUAGAGAUGUGGAGGAACACCAGUGGCGAAGGCGACUCUCUGGUCUGUAACUGACGCUGAGGAGCGAAAGCGUGGGGAGCGAACAGGAUUAGAUACCCGCGUAGUCCCUGUCUCUUAUAC
RNAcentral lists this ribosomal RNA (301 nucleotides) under uncultured bacterium. RNAcentral describes it as "partial 16S ribosomal RNA". It matches the Rfam family "Bacterial small subunit ribosomal RNA", at positions 509 to 807 of the family's 1533-position model. The record is from RNAcentral.